GUUUCCGUAGUGUAGUGGUCAUCACGUUUAUAUGCAAAAGGUCCCCAGUUCGAAACUGGGUGGAAACA
RNAcentral lists this transfer RNA (68 nucleotides) under Danionella translucida. It matches the Rfam family "tRNA". From Rfam's summary of the family: Transfer RNA (tRNA) molecules are approximately 80 nucleotides in length. Their secondary structure includes four short double-helical elements and three loops (D, anti-codon, and T loops). The record is from Rfam by way of RNAcentral. Lineage: Eukaryota; Metazoa; Chordata; Actinopteri; Cypriniformes; Danionidae. RNAcentral also lists the same sequence under 1 other name.